UACGUAGGGGGCAAGCGUUGUCCGGAAUUAUUGGGCGUAAAGAGCUCGUAGGCGGCUUGUCACGUCGGUUGUGAAAGCCCGGGGCUUAACCCCGGGUCUGCAGUCGAUACGGGCAGGCUAGAGUUCGGUAGGGGAGAUCGGAAUUCCUGGUGUAGCGGUGAAAUGCGCAGAUAUCAGGAGGAACACCGGUGGCGAAGGCGGAUCUCUGGGCCGAUACUGACGCUGAGGAGCGAAAGCGUGGGGAGCGAACAGG
Molecule: ribosomal RNA, 253 nt
Filed under: uncultured bacterium
Lineage: Bacteria
Description: partial 16S ribosomal RNA
Rfam family: Bacterial small subunit ribosomal RNA
Source: RNAcentral